CAGAAGAAAACAGGCAUUAGGGUAGGGUAUCUGAAUGUAAUAUUUAUCUGUGGAUAACAAGUUGCAUGAUUAUGUUCUACGUCAUAUCGUCGGUCAUGACGUAGUCUAUAUGACAUCAAUCCUAUUGUGCAAAACUGCUGAAGCGGAUCUUGCGACACCGUCACGUGAGAAUAUAUAGGUCCGUUAUACACACCCUCCAUUGCGUGCUGUCCGACGUCGAGCCGGGAAAACAUUGCGACCAACUUGACCAAGAACCACUACAAGGAUCAUCAUAAACGUUUUCUGUCGUCACAUUCGUUGCUGAAAUGGUGUCGUUCGCACCUGCGUGUCAAUAGGAAUUGUUUUGUCAUAUUGUCAAAGUCAACGAAAAUCUCACAGCCCUGGAUUCCUUGCUCCCAUGAAUAAAGCAGAGUAAAUCUAUACACUUCGACAGACAAUGUAACAAAACCAUGCCAGCCUUACAGCCGUCAUUUGCUCAAACAAAGCGUCGGUGGAAAUAAAUUAAUGUUUUACCAGA
Molecule: non-coding RNA, 517 nt
Organism: Ciona intestinalis (vase tunicate)
Lineage: Eukaryota; Metazoa; Chordata; Ascidiacea; Phlebobranchia; Cionidae
Source: RefSeq, a predicted model, not a curated record